Molecule: long non-coding RNA, 332 nt
Filed under: Hordeum vulgare
Lineage: Eukaryota; Viridiplantae; Streptophyta; Magnoliopsida; Poales; Poaceae
Description: long non-coding RNA (HVUL_LNC005122)
Source: RNAcentral
UGACUGAACAUUCUAAGGUUGCUAGCGAUAACCAGGACGUUGCAUCUGGGGAGCUGUCACCAGAGACAAAUGGUGGAAAUAAUAAGCUGACGGUAGAGGCUUGCAACAAAGUUACUGAUGAUACAUCAAAUCCUCUUGAUAGUACACCUGCGGAUGGCACAUCAAAGCCUCUUGAUAGUAUACCUGCUGUAGAUAAACCAAAGCGAGGCCGGCCUCCUGCAGUAAAGUCACAGGAGAAGAAGCCUGUUGGGAAGAGCCAAGGAUCAGGUCUUGAAUCUAAAGAAAUUCGCUCAGGCAGUACUUCCGGUGGAAGACCUGCAAGAGGACCCGCU